GGAUGAGAUGGGAGCAGAAUGGUCAAUUAGAGGGUGUUUCAAUAGCAGAAGUGCUUGAAAAGCAUCUUUACUUCUUCUCGUUAUAAACAAAUUAUUUGGUAAUGAGCUUAAUAUAGUCCGGAGAGUGUUGUUAUCAUUCAUUUGUACCAAAUAUAGUAUGUAAUAGUCGAGUAAUAGUCGAGUCUACUGCUGACUCGUUUCUCUGAGUGCAGCCAAAUUAGCGGCGACAUGAAAUCGUUUUUAAGCGCACAUAUUUAAAUACAUUUUCUAAAUUAAACCUCGAAAAAGGAGAAGAACAACACGAUACCCAAAGAAAAAAAUAAAACAGAAGACAAACGCAACAAAAUCCGACGACCUUGUGAUUACUUUGCCGCUGCUUCGACAUUAUAUGGACGUAUACUCAUCGCACAUUUGGCAACCCAUACAGAUGUAUCUAUACAUUUCGGUUACCUUACUUUGUCUUUCGACGUUUUUUGCAUAUUAAUUAAGCGCCAAAAGCAGCAGACAAUUUUGAAUAUUAUCAGUUAAUCUGGCCAGGCAUUUUCGAGUGUGUUUGUGUGUUUGUUUGUUGCUUGUUCUCUAUCUAUCUUUAAGUUGUACAACGUUUUGUGGAGCCGCGCAAUUGCAAACAGGUUUGGUGCAACUACAAAAUAAUAAUAACACCAAACAACUGAGAAAUGAUUUUUCUUAUAUGUACAUAUAUACGUACAUAUAUGUAUGUGGGUACUUUUUCUCCUUCUUUUUAACAAAAGUUCAACGCGGUGUGUGAGAUUUUUAUCAUUUGUACUCAAGUGGCGUCCGUCGGCUGAAGAUACACUUCGCCUCUCCGUUUCACACUGCAUAAUUUGAGGGAACACGAAGAAGUUGACAAAAGAUUUUUGUGCAGCGACAAGAGAUGGCCCCCCUUUCGAACCCCUCCCCCACCAUUCCGAACAAGUUGAGGUUGAUUUUUUAUCAGCCUGGAAAAAUCUUUGACACUAAAUGAGCAAUUGACUUGCCGUUGAGAGAGGAGUUUUGAAGUGCAAAAGCGGUGGGUGGGGUUGGCUUGUUUGCGGAAAAUGUCAAGGAUCUGCAGCUGUUGGUAGGGAAGGAGAAGUAUCUUUGUAUCUAUACUUUGAACUAGUGCAACGCGUCAUAAGAGCAGCUGGCUUUGCAGGUGGCUUUGAAUAAGAAGGCAUAAGAAUCGAGUAAGGAGGACAAAAUAAGCUUCUGCAAACGCUUCUGACGAUUGUCAACCUUUGAGGUUGUGGCAAUCCUUGAGAUACAAACCAGAGAUUAGUUUAGUGAGGCGGUCGUGCUGCCUCCGUUUUGCUCUUGCCUGCUGUGUGCACAUGCACGAGAUACAAACUCAUAGAUACUACUAUGCCCACUACAGCAUAAGAUACCCAGCAACUUGUCCGGGUUUAGUCGUUUUAGUUCGUUUUGGCCUGGCUUUUUCGGUUUUUCGCGCUGGGGUUCAGUUCAUGGCUGUUAAACUAUAAAGUUGUUAUGCUAAUUUCAGUGUUGGUGGCAACCGAAUGCUGCUCUUUUUUUCUUUUGCUUGAUUUUUUUCCUUUUUAACCGUUUCGAUUUCUUGGCGUUCGUUUCUUGGCUCGUUUAGAAAUGAGGAAAUUGUGGAGCAACAAAGAGAUCUUGAAAAUUACCACAAUUUGUACUUGUACAUAAGUAAUGUGGGAAUUUGAGCCGCCGCCGCCAAGAAGAGGAGCUCAAAAUAACACAAAUACAAUGAGGAGUAAAAAUCGAACAGGCAAAUACACUUAGGUCCAUAGUUUUCUUUUUUUUUGGUCUUUUUUUGUGUUGGGCUACAACUCCCCGAUCCAUUUGGGCCAACUUUGAUUGAUGAUCUCUGAUGGUCGGGUUUCUGUCUCCCUAUCUCAAUGGCUGUCCCUGUAUUUUUCACCAUUUUUCUCUGUUGUCUAGUGACCGAGCCGUUGACCUUGUUGAAUGGAAAAGCUCUUGGCCAGCCGGAUCAAUAUAAGCCAACCAACCACCGCCACAGUCGAGGCCCAUGGUCUGAUUUUGACAAGUUCAGCGUCGAAAAUCCUUCAAAAAUUUAUGACGCCCCCCAUGGCAGCCACAAAAACAACAACAACAAGAACUACAACAACAGAAGUGGGCACAAAUUUGGGUGGUGGUGCUCCAAACUGUCAGUGACAGGCGCUGAAGGAGCUACGAUUUUGUUUUUAUUUCUUGUUGUAUUUCUAUAUAUAUUUGUGGAGCAGCCUUUUUUUUGGGGAGUUUUCCUGCGUUUUCCGACUCUUGUCCCACUUGCUGCCUGUCUGUCUGUUUGUUUGUUUGUUGGUUUGUUGGGCCGUGUGUGCCGGUUCUUGGUAUGUUUUUGUCGUGUUUGGGCCACAUUAAGUCAUUGCUGAAAGCCAGCCUACGACCAACUGAACAGCAACAACUCAAUUGGACUCUUUAGGCAGAGCUUUAAUAUGCAGAUUUUAGCUUUCAGCCGGCAAUCCUAACUUAAACUAUUGCUCUACCUAACAGGCAAAAACUUUAGUUUAGUUUAGUUGAAGAAUGUCAGGAAAUAUUGGAUUGGGAAAAUCUGCAAAUGGAAUUCUAUUUCUGGAGAAAUAAUAAACUCUCGCUCCAAAUAUCUGCGAAUCAAAUUAGAAAUCAAGGCUUGAACCGUAAAGCUUAAAGCCGAAAGCCCAAAUUGGAGUUACCAAAGCCUGCGUGAACUUGAAACUGUUGCAAACGUUGCACAAACAAAAACGCAGAGAGGAACCGGAAAUAGCCGCGCAGCAAGGACAUUUUGCGUGUGUGUGUGUCUAUGGGGGGAUAUGCUAAAAACGGGCUUAAAUGGGAGGUUGGGCUUUAUCUAGCGGCGCCUAAAACUGACCAAAAACCAGACGCCAGUGGCAGAAGAGUUAUGACUGCAAAAAUGCGGCCAGACCGAAAAUGCGAGACAGAGAUGGCCAAAUAGGUGGGCAUGUGUGUGUGUGUGGUGCGCUGGUGUUUUGGCCAAAAUGGUGACAAUGGCCGCCAUUAUACAUAGUCAUCUAGCCAUAUCGACCACCCACUUUCCCCGCAUAAGGCCACCAAUAUGUUUGUUGCACAACCGACUUCGUUUAUCGAUUUCUUGCGUACCCCCGACACUUUUGCUUUUCGCCCUUUCUAUCUAUUGGAUUUUUUCGUGGAUUUCGUAUUUUCAUAGCCCAAAUAAAAAAGCCGAAAAACCUUCUUAAUUGCGCUGGCGCAGUCGAAGGCCUAAUCAAAAUUAAUUGUUUAUCAUGUUGUAUUUGAAUUUCUUUCCAUUUCUUCCCGCACACAUCUAUCUCUCUCUCUAUAUAGAAUUCUUCCCCUUUUUCUGGGACGACUUCAACUUUAGCUUUGCUUAAUUAGCAGACGAGCCGCUGGUUGUAGGUGUGUCCCGCUGCCACGCCCCCUGCGCCCAACGCCCGUCGCCCGACGGACGAAGUCACGCCCAGCCUUUUUUCGGGCGGCCUCAAAAGUUUUAUUUGGUGUUAGACAAUUAAUUUUUGUUGCGUGCCUGGGUGUUAUUUUAAUUUACAGUUGCAGCACUGCCGAGCAGCAAAAAAAAAUCGAAAACACGCUUCAUCCUAGGCGAUAUUAUUAACUUUUAUUGCUUAUAAUAACAAUAUUAUCGAGCAGGCGAACAUCAAACGUUGACAAGCAUCGAAAACGUGUGCUAAUUUUUUGUUCGCCUUCCAUUUAAUUUAUGUCGAAAAACAAAUACUUAAUACACGCAAAAAAAUAAUAGCACUGAAAUAUAUGCAUAAAAUUAAAGCAGAAAAAUUAGAUGCUCGGUAGCCGAAUUGAAAGCGAGCAGCGGCGGAAAAAAAAUAAAUGAAUACUUUGGCGUUUUAACAUUUAUCAAAAAUCAACAACAAAUGACGUCAGUCUGUGGCAUUUAUUAAAUUAAAAUGAGCCCCAAACUCGCAGACACAAAAAACUGGCAGAUGAUUAACAAAAAGCCAACAAAGCGCGGCCAAUAGCAACAAAAAGUUUGUCCAAAAAGGUAAAUUUAAAUUUCGUGUGUUCGGAAAACACAAGCAAAACACAUACAAAUAUCGAAUCAGAAAUAAAUCGAAAGAAAAGAAAUUUUGAAAAUAUUUUUAGCUGCUUUCUGGGAAUUUAAUGCUAAAAGCGCAUCGAAAGCGAAGACAAUUUAAUGGCCGAAAUUAAAGGAAAAUGUUUGAAAUUUAAAUUGACGGAAAAUGGCGGAAAAGGCGGCAAGGCAAGCAAAUUAAAAAUAUUGCAUUUAAAUGGAUUUAAACGAAUACGUUUCGGGUUAAUUGAAGAUAUUAUAUUUAUACAAGUUGAACAAAAUACACACUCAGUAAUCGUUUUAUUGGCCUAAAUGACUAUCUGAUUCCCGCUUCUCGGCCAUUUAAUUAAAUUGCUGGGACACAAGGACUUGGCCAACUUUGCUAACAAAAUUUCGGGCGCUAAGAAACAAAAGUCUUUGGAGUUUGGCAUUUUUGUCGGGGCCAAAAGUUACUCAAAAAUACGAAAAUAAAUUGCGUGCUGAUGGCUCAUUUAAUUUAAUGAGCGGCGUGCAACUUGUCUAAAUGAUUUUUCCUCUACUUUACAACACAUUUUUUCUUCACAUUUUCGUCUGUACACUUUUUCCGUUUCAGACCCUCAGUCAUUUUUUGUUUCUUGCCUUUAUAUAGUUGGAGAGAUGGAUAUCCCCGAGAAAAGAGUUCACGACGAACAAAAAAAGUAAUUCCAUUUUAUUCGAUGAAUAUUAGCAAAACACUUUGACUUAAUGUUUGGGGAAAUUACGGCAAGCGAAAACAGGCAGCGAUAUUUAAAAAACUUUUAAGCGUAAAUGCAAGAAGAAAUGAAACUAAUGAAAACACUUUCAACGGCAGCCAGCGACCUCGUCAAACUUGGCAACUAUGUGUGCUGGCUAUAGCAACAAAAAGCAAAAAAACUAAAGAGGCAACAACUAUAUAGCACCAGCAGGCACCGACCCAAGAAUCAGGCACGCAAUUUGAUCAUUAAACAUGAAGCUCUUUAGCACACGAAAAACAACAUCGGUGGAAAGUGGGAGAAGUGGAGGCCCCAUAUAGAGUGCCAUGACCCCCCCUGGGCCCCCUUCGCCUUCGCACCCCUUGCAGAAAUAUGCAUAUGUAAUUUGUUUAUAAAUAUUCCUCUCAGCCUGACGCUUCCUACUCGCUCAAUUUCGCUGGCAUGUGAAGCGUCUGCCGGGCGGAUUCUCAACCGAAAGCCAAGAUGUAUCUGAAAUCUCCAGAUAAACGGGGGAAUGGUGGAGAGGUGGAAGGGUGGAAGGGGAGCUCUCCUCUGCUGGAGCCCAUGAGUCAUGCGGGGAAGCUGGGAAGACUGGAGAAUUGCCCACUUAAUUAGAAAGGAAUUCGCGACGAAGGUUGAUCGCUGCCAAAGAUUAACCUUCUGCAAAUAUGAUAAGCAGCAGUGGGGAAAAAAUGUUACUUAUACCAGGAUGACGAAUAUUAUUUUCCAGCAGAUAAGUAAUAAAUAGGAAAUGCCAAUUUAUUUGCUAUUAAUAGAAUGGCUUCGGAAGUUGCUGAGAAAUCUACAUUGCGCCCAUUUCAGCGAAGUAUAUUUACAAUAAAUUAUAACUAUUUUGCGUUGCCAGCACAUUUUGGAACUUAAAAUUUUAGUGAAUAAAUUGAAAAGUAUUUUUUCGAGGCAAAAAUUUCUUGUAGUUUCCAGCUAAGUCGAAUUCCGAAUGUUUCCAUCAACUUUGGCAAAUGCUGCUGGCCACCAAAGUAAACCACAAAAUCGACUGUGGCAUUUUCCGCUGCUCCGCUCGCCUUGAUCUUUUCUUUUUCUAUUUUGAUUUUGAUUUUGUUUUUGAUUUUUCAUUUUAUUUUCUAAAAGUCUAAAGCGAACGAGAAAUACUACAGAAAAAAAAUAGGCGAACAAACGCAGUGGGAGAGUCGAGCACACGAUAGACGAAUUAUAUUUUAUGCCACAAAUUACGCUGCGGUUAACCUUUAAAUUAAAAUAACACCAAAACAAUUUUUGUGCUGCAUUUCGCAGGCGUUUGAAAUGGCACACGAACUGAAAAAUGGUGGGAAAAGUGGGGGGAGGCGCUGGGGGGAAUUGUGCAGCAGCUGCAAUGCACAUUUUUAUACAAAUACAAAUUGCAAUUGCACAUUUUUUUGUGCACAUUUUACACGGCCUCUCUUUUUUGCUCCUUUGCUGGCAUUGCUGUCCGUUUCGAUGGCAUAAAAUAAUCAAAUUAAAUAUAUAUAAAAAUGCAUGUGCAGUUGGGGGUUUGGGGUUAAGGGUUGGGAGAAGAGCCCGCGAAAAUUGCUUCCCGCCAUUUUUCGCAAAUUAUAGCAGCGCAAAGUCAUGGAAAAUGGUACAAAUAAAAUUGUAAAUAAUAAAACCGCGAAGCGGCAGAAACUGAAUGGAUCGCUUUUGGGCCGCUGGCAAUGUGCAAAAUGUGCAAUAAAAUUAUAUGCAUCAAAUGCACACAAGCAGCCAAACAGACAGAAUACCCGCAUAUAUAUACAUACAUAUACAUAUGUAUGUAUAUAUAUCUUUCGCCCCGAGUCGAAAAAUUCAUUUGAUGGAAUUGAAAUGG
Molecule: long non-coding RNA, 6550 nt
Organism: Drosophila yakuba
Lineage: Eukaryota; Metazoa; Arthropoda; Insecta; Diptera; Drosophilidae
Exons: 2
Source: RefSeq, a predicted model, not a curated record